This 107-nucleotide small nuclear RNA is filed under the name Catagonus wagneri (Chacoan peccary). Lineage: Eukaryota; Metazoa; Chordata; Mammalia; Artiodactyla; Tayassuidae. The record is from RNAcentral.
GUGUUUGCUCUGGCAGCACAUAUACUAAAAUUGGAAUGAGGCAGAAAAGAUGAGCAUGGCCUCUGUGCAGUGGGGACAUGCAAAUCGGUGAAGUGGUCCAUAACUUU